This 301-nucleotide ribosomal RNA is filed under the name uncultured bacterium. Its description in RNAcentral is "partial 16S ribosomal RNA". It matches the Rfam family "Bacterial small subunit ribosomal RNA", at positions 509 to 807 of the family's 1533-position model. The record is from RNAcentral.
CAGCCGCCGCGGUAAUACGGAGGGAGCUAGCGUUGUUCGGAAUCACUGGGCGUAAAGCGCACGUAGGCGGCUAUUCAAGUCAGGGGUGAAAGCCCGGGGCUCAACCCCGGAACUGCCUUUGAAACUAGAUAGCUUGAAUCUUGGAGAGGCGAGUGGAAUUCCGAGUGUAGAGGUGAAAUUCGUAGAUAUUCGGAAGAACACCAGUGGCGAAGGCGACUCGCUGGACAAGUAUUGGCGCUGAGGUGCGAAAGCGUGGGGAGCAAACAGGAUUAGAUACCCCAGUAGUCCCUGUCUCUUAUAC